This 933-nucleotide ribosomal RNA is filed under the name uncultured archaeon. RNAcentral describes it as "bacterial SSU rRNA". It matches the Rfam family "Archaeal small subunit ribosomal RNA", at positions 1 to 921 of the family's 1478-position model. The record is from RNAcentral.
UUCCGGUUGAUCCUGCCGGACCCGACUGCUAUUUGGGUGAGAAUAAGCCAUGCGAGUUGAAUGGGAUACCUAAAGUUCCCAUAGCAAACUGCUCAGUAACACAUGAUCAACUUACCCUAUAGAGAAAAAUAACCUCGGGAAACUGAGGAUAAUGUUUCAUAAUUGAAUUGGCUUGGAAAAGUUUUUCAAUGAAAGGGAUAAAAAAAAUGGUUUUUAUCUGCUAUAGGAUAGGAUCGUGUUCGAUUAUGGUUGUUGGUGAGAUAAUGGCUCACCAAGCCGAUAAUCGAUAGGGGCCGUGAGAGCGGGAGCCCCGAGAUGGGUACUGAGACAACGACCCAGGCCUUACGAGGCGCAGCAGGCGCGGAACCUCCGCAAUACACGAAAGUGUGACGGGGUUACCCAAAGUGUUCAAUAGAACUGUGGUAGGUGAGUAAUGUCCCCUACUAGAAAGGAGAGGGCAAGGCUGGUGCCAGCCGCCGCGGUAAAACCAGCUCUUCAAGUGGUCGGGAUGAUUAUUGGGCUUAAAGUGUCCGUAGCCGGUUUAGUAAGUUCCUGGUAAAAUCAGGUAGCUUAACUAUCUGUAUGCUAGGAAUACUGCUAUACUAGAGGACGGGAGGGGUCUGAGGUACUACAGGGGUAGGGGUGAAAUCUUAUAAUCCUUGUAGGACCACCAGUGGCGAAGGCGUCAGACUGGAACGUGCCUGACGGUGAGGGACGAAAGCCAGGGGAGCGAACCGGAUUAGAUACCCGGGUAGUCCUGGCCGUAAACGAUGCAUACUAGGUGAUGGCCCGGCCAUGAGCCGUGUCAGUGCCGUAGGGAAACCGUUAAGUGUGCCGCCUGGGAAGUACGGUCGCAAGACUAAAACUUAAAGGAAUUGGCGGGGGAGCACCCACAAGGCGUGAAGCUUGCGGUUCAAUUGGAGUCAACGCCGG